Molecule: ribosomal RNA, 137 nt
Filed under: Paenibacillus rhizophilus
Lineage: Bacteria; Bacillati; Bacillota; Bacilli; Caryophanales; Paenibacillaceae
Description: Paenibacillus sp. 7197 partial 23S ribosomal RNA
Rfam family: Bacterial large subunit ribosomal RNA
Source: RNAcentral
AGCCCCCCUCAAGAUGAGAUUUCCCAAUUAGUAAGACCCCUUGAAGACGACGAGGUAGAUAGGUUGGAGGUGGAAGUGCAGCAAUGCAUGGAGCUGACCAAUACUAAUCGGUCGAGGGCUUAUCCAAAAACACCCCA